Passer domesticus (house sparrow) is the source of this 448-nucleotide long non-coding RNA. RefSeq lists it as uncharacterized. The transcript is spliced from 3 exons. NCBI's taxonomy places the organism in Eukaryota, Metazoa, Chordata, Aves, Passeriformes, Passeridae. The record is from RefSeq and is a predicted model, not a curated record.
CUUGCAUGGAAAGCUUGUGGAGCAGCAGCAAGUGUGAUCAGCAAUAUUCCAACUUAAAAAGCUUUGACUCCAGAUAGCCACUGCCAGUCUGUUUUCAAAGGGAAAAAAAUGCAGUCAGUGUUAAGUGGUGAGGGUCCCAUGAAACACAGAGUUCAAUGGAUUAGGAUAUCCUUCAAUUUUGAGACAUCUGACAACGAAGACCUAAGCCAAAGCCCAGGAAAGAUGCUAUGGCAGCUACCUGCUGGGAGAAACUUGUCUGUCAAUAAGAAUAGAAAGUACAGUUGAAUCCUUUACUAACAGAAUAAAGUGGAAAUUGUGUUCUGUCUCCAUUUCUCUAAGCAAAGUGGCCUCAUUGGCCUCCUGCCUUCUGUGUUCUUAGAAGGAAAUUGUUUAAUUCUCACAUUCACUGACACUGCUUUUAGCACACUUGACACAUCUGUGCAUGUUA